AUUAUAUUUCCUUCAUCCGAAAAUACUUGUCAUAAGAAUAAAUGUAUCUAUACAUAUUUUAGUUUUAGAUACAUUUUUAUUAUUCAUUUAUAUGACAAGUAAUUACGGACGAAGGGAUUAUAUA
Molecule: non-coding RNA, 124 nt
Organism: Hordeum vulgare subsp. vulgare (domesticated barley)
Lineage: Eukaryota; Viridiplantae; Streptophyta; Magnoliopsida; Poales; Poaceae
Source: Rfam